UACGGAGGAUGCGAGCGUUAUCCGGAUUUAUUGGGUUUAAAGGGUGCGUAGGCGGUCCGUUAAGUCAGCGGUAAAAUUGCGGGGCUCAACCCCGUCGAGCCGUUGAAACUGGCAGACUUGAGUUGGCGAGAAGUACGCGGAAUGCGCGGUGUAGCGGUGAAAUGCAUAGAUAUCGCGCAGAACUCCGAUUGCGAAGGCAGCGCACCGGCGCCCUACUGACGCUCAGGCACGAAAGCGUGGGUAUCGAACAGG
RNAcentral lists this ribosomal RNA (252 nucleotides) under uncultured bacterium. RNAcentral describes it as "partial 16S ribosomal RNA". It matches the Rfam family "Bacterial small subunit ribosomal RNA", at positions 524 to 776 of the family's 1533-position model. The record is from RNAcentral.